This 250-nucleotide ribosomal RNA is filed under the name uncultured archaeon. RNAcentral describes it as "partial 16S ribosomal RNA". It matches the Rfam family "Archaeal small subunit ribosomal RNA", at positions 474 to 723 of the family's 1478-position model. The record is from RNAcentral.
CCCCAGCGCCACAAGUGGGAACCACGCUUAUUGGGUCUAAAGCAUCCGUAGCCGGUUCUGCAAAUGCCCUGUGAAAUCGUUGCGCUCAACGUAACGACGUGCAGGGUAGACUACAGAACUAGGGACCAGAGGAAGUAGACGGUAUUCCUGAGGGAGCGGUAAAAUGUGAUAAUCUCAGGAGGACCACCGAUGGCGAAGGCAGUCUACUAAUAUGGAUCCGACGGUGAGGGAUGAAAGCUAGGGGAGCGAU